RNAcentral lists this transfer RNA (68 nucleotides) under Marmota monax (woodchuck). Its description in RNAcentral is "tRNA.Ala". The record is from RNAcentral. Lineage: Eukaryota; Metazoa; Chordata; Mammalia; Rodentia; Sciuridae.
GCUGUGGCUCAGUGGUGGAGCACUUGCCUAGCAUGCACAAGGCCCUGGGUUCCAUCCCCAGGUCUGCA